UAUAGAUGGAUCCGCGCUGCAUUAGCUAGUUGGUAAGGUAACGGCUUACCAAGGCAACGAUGCAUAGCCGACCUGAGAGGGUGAUCGGCCACACUGGAACUGAGACACGGUCCAGACUCCUACGGGAGGCAGCAGUAGGGAAUCUUCCGCAAUGGGCGAAAGCCUGACGGAGCAACGCCGCGUGAGUGAUGAAGGUCUUCGGAUCGUAAAACUCUGUUAUUAGGGAAGAACAUAUGUGUAAGUAACUGUGCACAUCUUGACGGUACCUAAUCAGAAAGCCACGGCUAACUACGUGCCAGCAGCCGCGGUAAUACGUAGGUGGCAAGCGUUAUCCGGAAUUA
Molecule: ribosomal RNA, 341 nt
Filed under: Staphylococcus aureus
Lineage: Bacteria; Bacillati; Bacillota; Bacilli; Caryophanales; Staphylococcaceae
Description: bacterial SSU rRNA
Rfam family: Bacterial small subunit ribosomal RNA
Source: RNAcentral